Molecule: non-coding RNA, 655 nt
Organism: Arachis ipaensis
Lineage: Eukaryota; Viridiplantae; Streptophyta; Magnoliopsida; Fabales; Fabaceae
Source: RefSeq, a predicted model, not a curated record
CCAUUAAUGGGGUUUCGCCAGGAGAGGGGAGACGCACCAGGAGGAGCCUGACGUGCGUGAGGAAGAAGGGGAGAGGUCCAACGUUGAGAUAGUUCCUGUCACCGCCGUCUACCUCUGUCACUGCUGAUCUGCUGCUCUGUGGUGCUUAGCUGGAGCUUCUGUUACUGUUACCGGAGAUCUGUGGUUGCCGGAAGACACCAUUGUUGUUGCUGCCGAAGGAGGAGGAAGCCUUGCCGCUGUUUUGGCCGUCAGGAGCAGUCCUGUGGCCACCGGAACCACCGCCGGGGAUGCCGCUACUUGGCUCAGUCACUUCUUCUUAGUUGCGCCGCCGUCUGGGUCACGUGGAGGGAGGAAGAGCCGCGAGGUGUCGCCACACCUUGCCUCCGCUGCCUUUGUCGCCAGAAACAGCCACUGAGUCCUCUGUAUUGGUAAGCAUUUCUGAUUCGAAAGGCCUUUGUCACUGCCCUGUAAACUUAUGCUGAGGCGUUGCGGUGUUGUCCAUCAUAGGUUUGUGUAUUCAUACUUGCAUUCCGUGCUCGGAGUUUGUAGCUGCCUCGUUUUGUCAUUUCACUGUUUAUGCUGCUGCAAAAGUGUGUGGGGCUGUGCUUUGAAGCUACCAUUGAUUUUGGGUCGAGACGAAGGAUUUCUGAGAAGC